Molecule: long non-coding RNA, 331 nt
Organism: Homo sapiens (human)
Lineage: Eukaryota; Metazoa; Chordata; Mammalia; Primates; Hominidae
Source: Ensembl
CAAUGUUGGGGUCAGAGAGUGUAGAGAGUGGUGUGGGGAGAGUGCAGGCUGAAGAGUUACCUAAGGUCAAAAUCCUGACCUAUGAGCCAAGCCAUCGAUUUGGGAUUUCUACUGAGGACACUGGAAGUCACUAAGAGCAUCUGAAUGAAAGAAAAUAAAAGAGACUGAGAAACCACAGAAAUAAAGAAGCGCUGAUGACAAUGCCUGCUUGCUGAUGGUUACGAUGAUCAUAGCAGUGUGCAUUUUGUAUGCAUGAAGCCUGCGACUAAAUAAACGUGUGGGGAAAUAUUUGUAAGGAAAUAAGCUAUUAAUAAAAUAAGCUAAAAUCACA